GGUUUAGGGGUGGGGAUCUGGAUCGUUCACAAGAUAAUAGCACAUUCUCAAAUUGAACAGAGUGGGGUAACCCCCAAAGACCUCCUUUUAAUUUCAUUUGAUUUGUUUUAUCGUCCCAUUCAAGAAUAUAUAUGGUUUAGGGAUGGGGAUCUGGACCGUUUACAAGAUAAUAGCAUAUUCUCAAAUUGAAAGGGGUGGGGAUUACCUCCCAUGGACUCACCCUCCCUUCUUUCUUCCCCCCGAAAUACCUUUUAAUAAGCCCCAAUGCACAGAUAGUUCACAGUAUUUUCCCUUGAUUUACACUAAAGAAUAUACACUAUACAGGUGUAAUUUUUUUUUUAAAAGAUAAUACAACUGAAGACCACCAUGACCACAGUGGUGGAUCCAGAAUUUUUCAUAAGUGGGGCCCACCGACUGCCUAAGAGGGGCCUGCUCCUGCCAUGACUCAGUGAUUCCAUAUAUAAUCAACCAAUUCUUUUCCCAAACAGGGGGCCCUGAACUCCUGAUUCCCCCUUUUUUUUCCU
RNAcentral lists this long non-coding RNA (524 nucleotides) under Mytilus galloprovincialis (Mediterranean mussel). The record is from RNAcentral. Lineage: Eukaryota; Metazoa; Mollusca; Bivalvia; Mytilida; Mytilidae.